RNAcentral lists this ribosomal RNA (423 nucleotides) under uncultured bacterium. RNAcentral describes it as "partial 16S ribosomal RNA". It matches the Rfam family "Bacterial small subunit ribosomal RNA", at positions 360 to 775 of the family's 1533-position model. The record is from RNAcentral.
AAUUUUGGACAAUGGGGGAAACCCUGAUCCAGCCAUCCCGCUUGUGCGAUGAAGGNCUNNGGGUUNUNAAGCACUUUUGGCAGNNNNNAAAAGUCUCUGAUUAAUACCUGGAGAUGCUGACGGUACAUGCAGAAUAAUCACAGGCUAACUACGUGCCAGCAGCCGCGGGAAUACGGAGGGUUCAAGCGUUAAUCGGAAUUACUGGGCGUAAAGCGUGGGCAGGCGGUUUGGCAAGAAGGAUGUGAAAUCCAAGGGCUUAACCUUGGAACUGCAUUCUUAACUGCCAGGAUAGAGUAUGUCAGAGGAGGGUAGAAUUCCGCGUGUAGCAGUGAAAUGCGUAGAGAUGCGGAGGAAUACCGAUGGCGAAGGCAGCCCCCUGGGAUAAUACUGACGCUCAUGCACGAAAGCGUGGGGAGCAAACAG